GAAUUCACUAGUGAUUCAGGCCUAACACAUGCAAGUCGAGCGGUAGAGAGAAGCUUGCUUCUCUUGAGAGCGGCGGACGGGUGAGUAAUGCCUAGGAAUCUGCCUGGUAGUGGGGGAUAACGUUCGGAAACGGACGCUAAUACCGCAUACGUCCUACGGGAGAAAGCAGGGGACCUUCGGGCCUUGCGCUAUCAGAUGAGCCUAGGUCGGAUUAGCUAGUUGGUGAGGUAAUGGCUCACCAAGGCGACGAUCCGUAACUGGUCUGAGAGGAUGAUCAGUCACACUGGAACUGAGACACGGUCCAGACUCCUACGGGAGGCAGCAGUGGGGAAUAUUGGACAAUGGGCGAAAGCCUGAUCCAGCCAAGGCGCGUGUGUGAAGAAGGUCUUCGGAUUG
Molecule: ribosomal RNA, 396 nt
Filed under: uncultured bacterium
Lineage: Bacteria
Description: bacterial SSU rRNA
Rfam family: Bacterial small subunit ribosomal RNA
Source: RNAcentral